CGCCUCUUGCAUAUAUUAUAAGAGGUCUUGCCUGCCCAGUGACGCAAGUUUAACGGCCGCGGUAUUUUGACCGUGCAAAGGUAGCGUAAUCAAUCGUCUUUUAAAUGAAGACCUGUAUGAAUGGUAAAACGAAAACUCAACUGUCUCAUUCUUUCAGCCAAUGAAAUUGAUCUCUCCGUGCAGAAGCGGGGAUAUACACAUAAGACAAGAAGACCCUGUGGAGCUUUAGAUCUCUACUUACAUCUUAGAUUGGGGCGAUCACGGAGAAAACAGACCCUCCACGAAGAAAAACAUAGUCAAGAGUUACAGCUCCAAACACUAAUACAUUUAAUUCUAUGAACCGGCCUGCCGAUUAACGAACCUAGUUACCCCAGGGAUAACAGCGCAAUCCCCUUAAAGAGCACUUAUCACUAAGGGGGUUUACGACCUCGAUGUUGGAUCAGGACAUCCUAAUGGCGCACCAACUAUUAAGGGUUCGUUUGUUCAACGAUUAAAGUCCU
The sequence is a ribosomal RNA, 500 nucleotides long. It matches the Rfam family "Bacterial large subunit ribosomal RNA", at positions 1817 to 2597 of the family's 2925-position model.